AAAGCUGAGCACUGGUAUGGUCAUGAAACUCCCUGUACCAGAGAAGUCCUUCCUCCAAAAGUCCUUGGAAGACAACGCUGUGUUUUGAAGACAGGCUCCAGAAAAGCAUAGGAGGAGGGAUAGAAGCGUUUCCAGAAAUAUUUAUAAAAGAACAAAGGAAAAUUUUUGGAAACUGGUGGAAAGUCAAUGUUAGUUGGAUCCCUUUGCUCCUAUGAACUUCAUUCCAUAAAUUGAGAGUCAUUUUUUGAGGGAGGAAGGAAGUCGAAAGCAGAAAUAUCUGUGCUAAAUGUUUAGUAGCUUUGGUAGGCUUUUGACCUGAGCAGUCAAUUCUCCUAACUUCAGAUCGGCCCAGACUACUGGCAAGACGUGUGCAGUCAAGUAACAUUUAUAGGUCUUGACCUCCAGAGGAUUCAGAAGCACUUGACAGAGUUGAGCAGCUAAGGAAAGAAUUUAGGAAUGUGUUUACUCUGUUAUGUUUCCUGACCAGUCCUCAUACCAAUGAGUUUUCCAUAAGUGGAAUUUUCUGCAGAAGGCCAGUGAGGAGCUAGGAAACACUCUCCACCGGUGAGACUGCUCUUGCAGUUUGUAAAUUACCCCAUUGCUUCUGCACUUCUGGGUUCUGCUGUUUGGGAUUUUCGAAAUUGGUUUAGGGUUGACCUGGCCAACAGUCAAGCACCCACACAGCUGCUCACUCACUCCCCUGUGGGAUGGGGGAGAGAAUAGGAAGAACAAAGUAAGAAAACUCAUGUGUCAAGAUAAAGAAAUUUUAAUAAGCCAAGGAAAGAGCAAAAAAACCUAAGUGACGCCAAGGCCUCCCACUAGCAGACCAGUGCCAGUCCCUCAGCAUCGGCCACCUUGGAAACACAACCUCUGCUUCUUUCUCUACUACCAGUUUUUACUGCUGAGCAUGAUGCUAGGUGGUGUGGGAUGUCCCCUGGCCAGAGCUGUCCUGGCUGUGCUCCCUCUCAACCUCUCGCCCACCCCUGGCCUGCUUGCUGUGUGAGGCAGAGAAGGUCUGGACACAGUGCAAGAGCUGUUCAGCAGUAGCUGAAACACUGUUUUAGCCACAAAUCUGAAACACAGGCUGCUGUGGGCUGCUUUCACGAAGUUAACUCAGCCCUGGCCAUCACAAAAAUGAUCCAGGUGAAACUGAGAAAGACACUCACAAAGGCCACUGUUAGAAGGAAGAAUAAACAAGGACUGUGCUUUACUUCAACUGUUUAAACAAACAAUUUACAUU
Long non-coding RNA from Cygnus olor (mute swan), 1240 nucleotides. RefSeq lists it as uncharacterized. The transcript is spliced from 2 exons. The record is from RefSeq and is a predicted model, not a curated record. NCBI's taxonomy places the organism in Eukaryota, Metazoa, Chordata, Aves, Anseriformes, Anatidae.